RNAcentral lists this long non-coding RNA (1033 nucleotides) under Cricetulus griseus (Chinese hamster). RNAcentral's name for it is "lncRNA (ENSCGRG00015005696.2)". Lineage: Eukaryota; Metazoa; Chordata; Mammalia; Rodentia; Cricetidae. The record is from RNAcentral.
CUCUGCACUUCUUUCCUCUAAGUAGGAAUGUUUAUACCUCCAGAUACAAAAUCCGACUAGGGAGAGAAUGGAGUUGGAAAGAAAUGGAAGUGCAGAGUGAUGGAAAAAACGAGAAGGAUUUGGAGAGCACACUUUUUUUCUGCCGUGACAGGCCACAGCUGGGGGAUCCGAAUGGAACUAUAGAAGAUGACAAUCCUCUUGACCUCUGAAUGGCCAGAUCACACCACAACAGCACAUGCCAGCUUUGGGAAGCAUCUGAGACCAGCCUUCUCGGAGUGCCAAAUCUGGUUACUGAUUCCUCAUUCAUCUACAACACCAUCACAGUUUGGAAGGCACGCCUUCUAUCAGGAGAAACACACUGGACAAAUAAUCCUAAGAGGAGAUUCAGGAAAAGGAUCCCCACUCACUGCCUAUGGAGGAGAGUUCAGAGACCUGACUUUGAUGUACCAAUCCACUCUCAGAGGCUCUCUUUCGGUCUUGCUUGCGUCCUGCUGAGGAGUGAAGCACAAGACUCCCGAAGCAACCUGUAUGCCCCAGAUCAUCAGGUGCUGCCACCAAUACUUGAAGAAAAGUAAUUCAUAAGAGAGGCAAACCAACACAAACCAAUGAACAUUAUGGUAAAUGUGCUGUCAUGUUUAGCUUCUCUGUGGCCCUGGAGCAACUCCGUGUCUUGGUCAUUACUUAACUGUGGUGCCAGGAGGUUGUCAUCAAGGUCACCCAGUUACAUGUCCCAAAUUCUGAACUUCCACUUUUUGCUGAGUACAACAAAACCACCUUCUGUAACAUGAAUAAUAAAAACCCAGUGACAAAUAUUGGCGUUCAAGCUGAAGAUCAGAAAAGCAAAGCAGCCAAGCUGCCAGCUCUUACCUCUACUUCAGACUGAAAUGGUGAUCCUGGCCCCAGGAAUCCUGGGUGCAAUGCAGACUGCACUGCUCCCAAGUCUCAGACUGCAAUCCCUGGGCUCCUGUCUCCUCCCACCUUGUAUUCCUUUCUCUCCAGCCAUAUCCUCCUAUCUCCACCUCCCUAGCGCUGG